RNAcentral lists this long non-coding RNA (307 nucleotides) under Capsicum annuum. Its description in RNAcentral is "long non-coding RNA (CANN_LNC021316)". Lineage: Eukaryota; Viridiplantae; Streptophyta; Magnoliopsida; Solanales; Solanaceae. The record is from RNAcentral.
UACCGCUACCUCUGAAGAAGUAGAGAGGUUAUUUUCGAUAGAACCCCGGCUCAAGAUAAAGAAUAGUAAACAAGGGGAUGGAUGACAUAACAGAAAUAAGGAAUAAGAAAUAAUAAAAUAGAAAUAAGAGAAAUACGAAAUACGAUAAAUAAGGGCAACACGAAAUAAGAAAAUAGGAACUAAGAAAUAAGAAAUAGGACACCCACCUAGUAGUAACAUACACUCACAUACCAAAGACACCGCACAACCCUAAGAUUACUAACCCGGCUACACAAGAUCCCUCCUGACUGCUUGCUACAACCCACAC